RNAcentral lists this long non-coding RNA (802 nucleotides) under Androctonus crassicauda. The record is from RNAcentral. Lineage: Eukaryota; Metazoa; Arthropoda; Arachnida; Scorpiones; Buthidae.
AUUAUUUUCGCUUUCUUAUUGAAAGUUUUUGUUUUUUAUAGUUUUCUUCUAUUUUUUUACGAAAUAAUGGAAUACAAAUUGCUUUUUCUUCACCAUUUGCUAGAACGUCUAUCCUUUACCUUAUAUGGUAAAAACAGUAUAUUCUACCUCGUUCCCCCGAUUUGCUAUGUUUAUACCAAAAAAGGAAAUGGUCAAAUAGAAAACUCUCCCCCACGAUUUUCUUUGCUAUAUUUGGUAAAUAUAUCCUUUCCUCCCGACUAUCUGUCCGAAAGUGGACUCUCUCUCACCGCAAUAAACCCUUUCCCCGUCGCCCCCGUUGACAUCACCCUUUUCCCUGUUUACAUUAUACUUCGCUCACUCACCAAGUUGUCUUCGAAGUGUUAGGUUGUGUCACAAUUGUCAUUGGAUGAUCAGCAGCCUUGCUGCUCAAGGCAAGUUACCAGGAGAAGAGGAGCUUUAUCUGAGGAAGACCUCGAUCAAAUAUCCUUCUUAUUAUUGGAAUCUGAUGAAGAUGAAUCGAAUAUUUUUGACGAUCGAAAUAUUGAAUAUGAAGAUGAAGACUAUAUCGAUGAAAGUGAAAGUGAGUCAGAUACAGAAGAAGACGAAACUGACAAUUGGAAAACAUAUAGAAGAAGAGAUGGAGAUUUACUACGUUUCCCAUUUACUGUGAAUAAUUCUGGUUUUCAGAUUCCAAUUCAGAAUCGUCCAAGUGAUGAGUCAGGCUACUUUCAGUUAUUUUUUACAGAUGAAUUACUGCAUGAAAUUGUAAAAGCUACCAAUACUUAUGCACGAGCGAAAAUAG